UGGAUAUUGAGGAAAAAGCUUUUGUUGUCGUUUCGAUAAAAUAAGAUUGCAAAAAUUAUUUUUAAACGCUAAUUUCCUUUGCAUAUAUAGAUGUGUGAAAAUCUUGGUUGGAAUUCGAUUGGACCAGGUGUCUCAUAUUGUACAUUGUGUACCUGCACAAUAAUUAUGUUGCAGGACAAAUUUGCAUAGUGAGAUAGUGUAUAAUUGUCCUUCAGCAAUCUUCAGUAAGUGUAUAUAACGGAUCUAAUCCCUAAGGAUGUUACCUAGUCAUCAUCAAAACAUAGAAUAAUAGUAUAAUCUAUGCCUAAAGAAAUUAAAUUCAAG
RNAcentral lists this long non-coding RNA (324 nucleotides) under Capsicum annuum. RNAcentral describes it as "long non-coding RNA (CANN_LNC022053)". Lineage: Eukaryota; Viridiplantae; Streptophyta; Magnoliopsida; Solanales; Solanaceae. The record is from RNAcentral.